RNAcentral lists this ribosomal RNA (410 nucleotides) under uncultured microorganism. RNAcentral describes it as "bacterial SSU rRNA". It matches the Rfam family "Archaeal small subunit ribosomal RNA", at positions 330 to 745 of the family's 1478-position model. The record is from RNAcentral.
GCGCAGCAGGCGAGAAACCUCCGCAAUGCGGGAAACCGCGACGGGGGACCCGAGUGCCGUGGCAACGCCACGGCUUUUCCGGAGUGUAAAAGCUCCGGGAAUAAGGGCUGGGCAAGGCCGGUGGCAGCCGCCGCGGUAAUACCGGCGGCCCGAGUGGUGGCCGCUAUUAUUGGGCCUAAAGCGUCCGUAGCCGGGCCCGUAAGUCCCUGGCGAAAUCCCACGGCUCAACCGUGGGGCUUGCUGGGGAUACUGCGGGUCUUGGGACCGGGAGAGGCGGGGGUACCCCUGGGGUAGGGGUGAAAUCCUAUAAUCCCAGGGGGACCGCCAGUGGCGAAGGCGCCCCGCUGGAACGGGUCCGACGGUGAGGGCGAAGGCUAGGGGAGCAAAACCGGAUUAGAUACCCGUGUAGU